This 253-nucleotide ribosomal RNA is filed under the name uncultured bacterium. Its description in RNAcentral is "partial 16S ribosomal RNA". It matches the Rfam family "Bacterial small subunit ribosomal RNA", at positions 524 to 776 of the family's 1533-position model. The record is from RNAcentral.
CACGUAGGGCGCAAGCGUUGUCCGGAAUUAUUGGGCGUAAAGAGCUCGUAGGCGGUCUGUUGCGUCCGCUGUGAAAACUCGGGGCUUAACCCCGAGCCUGCAGUGGAUACGGGCAGACUAGAGGUAGGUAGGGGAGAAUGGAAUUCCCGGUGUAGCGGUGAAAUGCGCAGAUAUCGGGAAGAACACCCGUGGCGAAGGCGGCACUCUGGGACGGUACUGACGCUGAGACGCGAAAGCGUGGGGAGCGAACAGG